This 3016-nucleotide long non-coding RNA is filed under the name Homo sapiens (human). RNAcentral describes it as "ADIRF antisense RNA 1, transcript variant 7 (ADIRF-AS1)". Lineage: Eukaryota; Metazoa; Chordata; Mammalia; Primates; Hominidae. The record is from RNAcentral.
AGGCAACCCGCGGGCCGAGACGGGGUAGUGAGGGCCGGAAGCCCGGCUCCCGACUCCGCUUCGUCCCCACAACCUCCGGCCGCCUGAAGUCCUGAGGGGCCGUGGCCCUGGGUCGUCUCCCCUGUUCCCAGCCUCCAGUCGCAGCUGGCGGAGAGAAGUUCCCGAGGCCCCCCCGACUUGCAAGGUCCCUUGCCCCGCCCAGAGCUGAGCCUUCCGAGGAUCUGAGGACCGAGUCCAGCCCAGCUCCCAGGAGGGGCCGGGAUCCUGGGGCAGGGAAUAAGGGGCAGGGGCUGGCUCUAAAGUCGGGCGGGAGAGGGGCACUAACCGAGAUGGGGGCUGAGCCUCCGGUCUGGGAGCUUCGGGAGGCGCGUGGCGGGAUGGAAAACAUUCCUGAGACCGUUGGAUUGGAUUUCCGAAUUUGGGAGGCUAGGACUCCGGCUACGGUGGCUCUGCUCUUGGGAUGAGAGGACUGGGCCCAGCUUGCGAGGAAUCAUGAAGUGGACACAGGGUGGGAACGUGAAUUUUAAUGAGGGGGCAGACCGAGGAGGUGGUGGCUGCCCGGAGAUCAGGGCCAGGCUGUGCUAGAUGGCGCCUGGAAGGGGGGUCACCCAAGUCUCCCUGCUGUCAUUUCAGGAGGCCGACCCAAGUCUCCCUGCUGUCAUUUCAGGAGGCCGAAUUUUUUCCCAAUCCCAGAGAAGGUGUCAGAGGCCUGGUUAGCAGUCUUGUCGAUGGUUUCCUGGGUGGUCUUGGCCAGCUGGUCCAUGGCUGGGGAAGGGCGGGAGAGAGGGCAGGUCAGGCAGGGCCCGGGAACCACAGUGCCUGUAGGCUUAGCCUGGCCUGGGUCUCCCGGGGGACCUGCUUGGGGCAUUGUGGACAGAGGGCUCUGCAGAGGAGAGGAUGUGCCUGGGCCCCAGCCGGGAUGGGGCGGGGAGUGGGAGGUGUGCUGGGGUUGCCCGCCUCCCUCCAGCCCCACCAGACCUUUCUGCCCCGCCUCUGUGGCCUGGUCCACCACUUGCUGAGCUGCCGCUCCGGCCGCUGACACUGGAACAGAGAGAUGUGGCUUUUAGCCCCUGUUGAGGCACCACCGACUACAGGUGCCCCACCAUUGCCAUGCCUCUGUGUCCUCCAGAGUAUUCGGUGGUACAGGUCCAAGGGAUGGAUGCCAUGGAGAUAAAGUCCCUGGCCCAGGGCCCCCCAGCCCGAGGGGCAGGAGACCUUUCCAUGCCUCUGGGAUGUUUUUGUUUAUUUCUAACUCUGAGCUCCUUCUCUGUGGGGGAGGAGCUUCCCUUUCCAUCUCCAGGGCUACUGAGAAAAUGUUGGACAGAGGAAGGAAGGCAGGGCAGGGCCAGGCUGCAGCUAGCAUCUGGACUGUUGGCUAAUGCUGGUGAUGGCGCAGAAGACCCUUGCCCCCUUUUACAGCUUCUCCCCUAGAAGCCUGGCCCAGAUGCCUGAAUUCCCACCUUUCAUGCACUUAGCCCUGGGGCUUGCAGUUUUGCCAGGUCCUUACUGCCUCCUCCCUCCUGUGGCCUGCCCGGAGGGGCACACAAGCAAAGCCAGUGCCUCUGUGGACAGGCAGCUUAAGACAUUAGGAGACAAAUGAAGGAAGGAGGCAAAACUUCCAAGGCCGGACUAUCUCCUCUGGACCAGAGUUUCGGCCUGCUGGGAAUGGAGUCACCAGCCCCGGGGGGGCUGACAGGUGGCUCCCGCCUACAGAGCUGUAACUCAUCCCUGCUGCUGAACAGGAAAGGGCCUGCCUUACCCAGAUCCCAUCCUCCGGAAAGGGUUAGUCAGGCAAGUGUGCUGAGAGGCCCCUGGGAACCUCGUCUCGAUUAACCCAUCAGAAAGCAGCCCAUCCUUUGCACCCAGCUCUCAGAUGGAAAAGUGAAGCCCAGAAGGAAGGGACCUGACACGGAGGCUUCCUUGGUAGCAUUUCAGUCUCAAGGGAAGAACUGUGGGCCUCCCCUGGAGCACUGGUGAAGUAAGGGGUUGGUUUGGAUAUUGUCUCCUGACUGGGAUAUGGGCAGGACUGACAGGGAGCUGGAGUCCUAACGAAGCCUGGGCUAGGUGCAGGAAGAACCAACCCAGUGGUCUCCUGACAUCUCCCACGCCCCCACCGCAGCUGGGUCACCUCCAGAAUACGGAGGAGAGAGCUGGAGGUGGAGGAACUAAGGACCUUCUUUGCCAGGUGGGGACUUAAAGCAUACAGUGAAGUUGUUCUCUGAAGUUCCUCAUCUGCCUUAAGUCUGGACCCACCAAAGAAGAAAACAAUGACCACUGGUCCCUUCCCGGAGUUUUCUCUGACUGAACUGCUGUCACAGGAAGAAAGACUGAAGCCUGCUCACAUACCUGGACAGAUUUUGCAAACCGUUGUCUGCUCUGUGAGCCCAACAGACUUUGUCCCAGGCCACUGUAUGUUCUUCAAGCCCACUGAAUUCCCCUGAAAAUCAUUUACUAGCCCCCUGAAAUUACCCACACUUCCCCAUUGCUCAUCUGUACCCCAUUUCGUGGUGGGGCAGUCACUCUGAUUUCCCCUUGCAUGCUAAUGAAUGUGUAUUCCAUUUCUAUUCUGCUUUCAUGAGCUGACUUUUCAGUGAACCUUCAGAGGGUAAAGGGGAAGUUUUCCCUUGGCCCCUGCACCGCAAUUGGUAAGGUCCAAAAUGUUAAAUGGAAAAUUCCAGAAAUAGCUGGUCGUGAUGGCUCCUGCCUGUAAUCCCAGCACUUUGGGAGGCCGAGGUAGGUGGAUAGCUUGAAGUCAGGAGUUCGAGACCAGCCUGGCCAACAUGGUGAAACCCUGUCUGUACUAAAAGUACCAAAAUUAGCUGGGCGUGGUGGCGCACGCCUGUAGUCCCUGCUACUUGGGAGGCUGAGGCAGGAGAAUCACUUGAACCUGGGAGGCAGAGGUUGCAGUGAGCAGAGAUCGCACCACCACUCCAGCCUGGAUGACAGAGUAAGACUCCGUCUCAAAAAAAAAAAAAAAAGAAAAUUCUAGAAAUAAACAAUUCAUGUUUUAAAUAAC